This 560-nucleotide ribosomal RNA is filed under the name uncultured bacterium. RNAcentral's name for it is "partial 16S ribosomal RNA". It matches the Rfam family "Bacterial small subunit ribosomal RNA", at positions 355 to 1376 of the family's 1533-position model. The record is from RNAcentral.
UGGGGAAUAUUGGACAAUGGGCGCAAGCCUGAUCCAGCCAUGCCGCGUGAGUGAUGAAGGCCCUAGGGUUGUAAAGCUCUUUCACCGGUGAAGAUAAUGACGGUAACCGGAGAAGAAGCCCCGGCUAACUUCGUGCCAGCAGCCGCGGUAAUACGAAGGGGGCUAGCGUUGUUCGGAAUUACUGGGCGUAAAGCGCACGUAGGCGGACAUUUAAGUCAGGGGUGAAAUCCCGGGGCUCAACCCCGGAACUGCCUUUGAUACUGGGUGUCUAGAGUUCGAGAGAGGUGAGUGGAAUUCCGAGUGUAGAGGUGAAAUUCGUAGAUAUUCGGAGGAACACCAGUGGCGAAGGCGGCUCACUGGCUCGAUACUGACGCUGAGGUGCGAAAGCGUGGGAGCAAACAGGAUUAGAUACCCUGGUAGUCCACGCCGUAAACGAUGGAAGCCAGCUGUCGGCAAGUUUACUUGUCGGUGGCGCAGCUAACGCAUUAAGCUUCCCGCCUGGGGAGUACGGCCGCAAGAUUAAAACUCAAAGGAAUUGACGGGGUCAUAGCUGUUUCCUG